This 606-nucleotide ribosomal RNA is filed under the name Triticum aestivum (bread wheat). RNAcentral's name for it is "partial small subunit ribosomal RNA". The record is from RNAcentral. Lineage: Eukaryota; Viridiplantae; Streptophyta; Magnoliopsida; Poales; Poaceae.
AUGAAACAAGUCUUAUACAAUGGUACAGUUAGUAUCAACCUAAAUAACUCAGUGGGCCCAAAUUUUCAAUGUGCUAAAUGGGUGCGCCAAGGAGACUCCCACUCUCCAUUUCUGUUUAACAUAGCUGCAGACUAUCUAAAUAAGAUAAUCAGCAAAGUGCAGCAAAAUGGCCUCCUAACUGGACUUGCAUCUGAUCUUGUCCCGAAUGGGGUGGUUGUUUUGCAAUACGUAGAUGACACGAUCAUUUUCCUUGAGCAUGAUGUGGAAAAGGCAUUAAACCUGAAGCUCCUAUUAUGUAUGUUCGAGCUAAUGUCUGGACUGAAGGUGAACUUUCAGAAGAGCGAGAUCCUGACUAUUGGAGGGGACACUGACAUAGAUAGCAAGUAUGCUGAGAUCUUUAACUCUGAGAUUCAACAUUUUCCAAUCAAAUAUCUUGGAAUGCCUGUGAAUUUCACAACUCUUAAAGAUUCGGUGUGGGAGUUUAUUGUAGAUAAAUACCUUAAGAGCUUCGGGUCCUGGAUUGGUAAUGCUGCAUUUAGCAGAGGCAGACUUACUUUGCUCACCUCGGUAUUGUCGCAGCUCUCUUUAUAUCAUAUGUCCAUGUGA